GCGGCCAUGGUGAAAUUGGUAUACACGUAAGUUUGAGGGACUUAUGGAUGAUUCCGUGCCGGUUCAAGUCCGGCUGGCCGCACCA
RNAcentral lists this transfer RNA (85 nucleotides) under Coprobacillus sp. AF33-1AC. RNAcentral describes it as "tRNA-Leu". It matches the Rfam family "tRNA". From Rfam's summary of the family: Transfer RNA (tRNA) molecules are approximately 80 nucleotides in length. Their secondary structure includes four short double-helical elements and three loops (D, anti-codon, and T loops). The record is from RNAcentral. Lineage: Bacteria; Bacillati; Bacillota; Erysipelotrichia; Erysipelotrichales; Coprobacillaceae. RNAcentral also lists the same sequence under 1 other name.